CCAUACCACCCUGAACGCACCCGAUCUCGUUUGAUCUCGGAAGCUAAGCAGGGUUGGGCCUGGUUAGUACUUGGAUGGGAGACAUCUUGUCAUAUUUUAGCAUGGC
RNAcentral lists this ribosomal RNA (106 nucleotides) under Vulpes vulpes (red fox). The record is from RNAcentral. Lineage: Eukaryota; Metazoa; Chordata; Mammalia; Carnivora; Canidae.